This 680-nucleotide ribosomal RNA is filed under the name uncultured bacterium. Its description in RNAcentral is "bacterial SSU rRNA". It matches the Rfam family "Bacterial small subunit ribosomal RNA", at positions 111 to 805 of the family's 1533-position model. The record is from RNAcentral.
GAACACGUGAGAAACCUGCCUUUCAUUCUGGGAUAACACCGGGAAACCGGUGCUAAUACCGGAUACUCCAUCUUGGCGGCAUCGCCGAGCUGGGAAAAAAUUUUGAUGAAAGAUGGUCUCGCGGCCUAUCAGCUAGUUGGUGAGGUAAAGGCUCACCAAGGCGACGACGGGUAGCCGGCCUGAGAGGGCGACCGGCCACACUGGGACUGAGACACGGCCCAGACUCCUACGGGAGGCAGCAGUAGGGAAUAUUGGGCAAUGGGCGAAAGCCUGACCCAGCGACGCCGCGUGAGGGAUGAAGGUCUUCGGAUUGUAAACCUCUUUCAGUAGGGAAGAAGCGAAAGUGACGGUACCUAAAGAAGAAGCACCGGCUAACUAUGUGCCAGCAGCCGCGGUAAUACAUAGGGUGCAAGCGUUGUCCGGAAUUAUUGGGCGUAAAGGGCUCGUAGGUCGUUUGUCGCGUCGAUUGUGAAAAUCUGAGGCUCAACCUCAGACCUGCAGUCGAUACGGGCAAACUAGAGUGUGGUAGGGGAGACUGGAAUUCCUGGUGUAGCGGUGGAAUGCGCAGAUAUCAUGAGGAACACCAAUGGCGAAGGCAGGUCUCUGGGCCAUAACUGACACUGAGGAGCGAAAGUGCGGGGAGCGAACAGGAUUAGAUACCCUGGUAGUCCGCACCGUAA